AUGUCUGGGAAACUGCCCGAUGGAGGGGGAGUAACUACUGGAAACGGUAGCUAAUACCGCAUAACGUCGCAAGACCAAGAGGGGGACCUUCGGGCCUCUUGCCAUCGGAUGUGCCCAGAUGGGAUUAGCUAGUAGGUGGGGUAACGGCUCACCUAGGCGACGAUCCCUAGCUGGUCUGAGAGGAUGACCAGCCACACUGGAACUGAGACACGGUCCAAACUCCUACGGGAGGCAGCAUG
RNAcentral lists this ribosomal RNA (239 nucleotides) under uncultured bacterium. Its description in RNAcentral is "partial 16S ribosomal RNA". It matches the Rfam family "Bacterial small subunit ribosomal RNA", at positions 113 to 353 of the family's 1533-position model. The record is from RNAcentral.